Molecule: non-coding RNA, 789 nt
Organism: Camelina sativa (false flax)
Lineage: Eukaryota; Viridiplantae; Streptophyta; Magnoliopsida; Brassicales; Brassicaceae
Source: RefSeq, a predicted model, not a curated record
UUUCAGUAGUUCCCCUCCCAUAAGUGAGACUGAGACUUUUUUAGUUUCCUUGUUUGCUGCUUCUCUAGAAAUUGGAGAUAUAUGGGGGUUCACUCGUCUUGUUCUGUGCUACUGAAGUGUAACGCACCAGAACUGACUCAAGCCAAAGGCAGUAAUCAGAAAAAUGCAUAAAGGUAAACGAGUGUUUAAUACUUAGCUAGCACUACCAUUCUGAGUCAUCAAAAUCAAAGCCAUCACAAGGGAAAAGCUAGAUACCAGGUGAGUCAGUUAUUGUUUCAAAAUCAGCAAGCUCUUCACUCCACAACUCCAGCUUUUGCCUGCACCACAAAGAAGUACACCACGUCUGCCAUAAUUCAAGGAAAACAUAGCUAGCUCUACCAAACUGAUUCAGGAAAAUAGAGCUCUCCAAAAGCAAAAGCUAGAUGAUGCAAGACAAAUUCUCUCAACGACAACAACAAAACAAGUCAACAACAACAACGGAUAAAACCUCUGUGAUGAACAUAAGAGGACGUUGUUUUCAGGACGUCUUCAACUCUCAUCUGAGUUGACGAGAAACUCUACAACCAGAAAAAGAUUCUUUGAAACAGCUCUCUACAAAAAACAACUCAUCACCAGGGAGAAGAAGCUUAAUCGUUGAGGCUAAGACUCCAUGUUGUUCGAACAAAUGAUGGAGAUUCAGUUUCUUCUCAUUAAUGUUAGGGAUGAUGCUGAAUUAUCACCCAAACGGUGGAAAUCCCCUCUUCUUGCACUGUGCUACUCGACAAGGCACCAGAAUUCAAAGCAAGACCC